Molecule: ribosomal RNA, 259 nt
Filed under: uncultured bacterium
Lineage: Bacteria
Description: partial 16S ribosomal RNA
Rfam family: Bacterial small subunit ribosomal RNA
Source: RNAcentral
UACGUAGGGUGCGAAGCGUUGUCCGGAAUUAUGGCGUAAAGAGCUGUAGCGGUUUGUCGCGUCUGCCGGUAGAAAACGUCCGGGGCUCCAACCCGUCGGUACGUUGCGGUGGGUACGGGCAGACUAGAGUGUGGUAGGGGAGACUGGAAUUCCUGGUGUAGCGGUGAAAUGCGCAGAUAUCAGGAGGAACACCGGUGGCGAAGGCGGGUCUCUGGGUAGUAACUGACGCUGAGGAACGAAAGCGUGGGGAGCAAACAGG